GAUCAUUGUGAGCUUGUUUGGAGGUUCUAGCAGGGGAGCGCAGCUAUCGUAUACCCUUGACCGAAGAACGGUACACUCCUUCUAUCUGGGAUGGUCGUCCUCUUCCACCGAGUGCGCAGCUUCGGGAGGGACGCACAUGGAGCGGUGAGGGAGGAAGGGGACACCCGCCUAGCCAGCCAGAUCAGCCGAAUCAACCCUGGCGAUCAAUGGGGUGACAGAUGUCGCAACUAGAUCGCCCUCACAUCCUGGCCCAAGAUCAUUGUGUGACCUCAAGUGGAACACAAAUGUUGCCUCCCACAAGAGCAUAAGAACAGCUGCCUAAAUCAGGACAAUGGGCCCAGCUAGUCCUAUCCAGCUAGCAGGAUCUGAACACAUGUGCACUCCCCACUUCAUGGUUUCCAGCAACUGGCAUUUGGAAGCACUGUUGCCUUCAGCUGUGGACGCAGGGCAUAGCUAAUAUUGCUAGUAGCCUUAUAGGCCAAGGACUCUUUCCUACUCUUUCAAAGCCAUCUAAGUUGGUGGCCAUCUCUGCCUCCCGUGGGACCGAAUUGCAUAGUUUAACUAUUUCCAUUUCCUGCCUUCAUCUACCCCAUUUCCCUACCUGAAGCACGUCACUUCGCUUUGAUGAAUGCCAAGACUUUCAACUCCUACAGGUUUUUUCCCCCAACAGUAAGCAUUGCCAGAUCUGAUUCACUAUGUGGCACUGUUUCAAGAUGCUGGGAGUGGGUGGGGGCCCCUUUUCAGGCCCUCGCCCCCAGCCCAUUGGUCUGCUGGGAUGGGGGCAGGGUGAAGGCCACCCUGUAGCCAAGGUGGGUGGCACCCUGGUCCUGGGAAACCCCGUGCUGGGUCGCAAACCCUGCCCACCUCUCAGAAGGGGUGAGCGGUAAUUGUUGAAAGGCCUUAUGUGGUUAAAUUGAAAAACAGCUUGCAGAGAUCUGCUAGCUAUAUUGCUGCUGCACAUGUUCAGUAUCCUUCAUUAUCACAAAAAUAGCCACUCCCUUAUUGAUAGUUUAUUAUCAUUCAUUAUAUCAGGCUGUCUUCGUUGUUUACUUUUGCAUUGUUCAUCAUGGUUUGUACUAAAUCAGUAAUGUGUGUUAUUUUAUAAAUUUUUUUAAUGCUUUAACAUUAAUAUGUUUUUAUUUUAUCCUGAUUGCUGAUUUUACUAAUUACAAAUCUCAAACAUCGAGUAGUGAUUUCUAUGUGCAUUUAUGCAAAUUCUGUUUCCUGGUUUCCCUUUUAUUAUUUUGCUUUGUGCUGUUGUGGUCUAAGGACCUGUGCAAUAAAAGUUAUUCAAUGUCCUUUACACAUUGAUUUGUAACUGUAUGGAAGAUAUAUUUUGCAGAAAUCUCUGUAGGCCAUUUUUUCAAUUUCACUUGGCCGAAACAUGUUGGGCUGUUCUGAAAAUACCCCCCCCCCCGGAUCUUGAGAAAUGUUUUCUUUGUUUUUGGAUGCUGUCAGUGUUUUCGUUUGUUUGUUUUGUGUUGGAUGUUUCAUUUUAGAUGCUGUCUGUGGUUUUUGUUUUGCAAUUCUAUGUAGCAUUGUGCAGUGCUCCCCCCCUAAAAAAAUGUUUAGGGGUACUCUCAUUUUCCUAUUCAUAUUUAAAUACUGCCCCUCAAUGAGGCCAAACUUAGAUUCACAAAAUGUUUAGGGGUAUGUGUCCCCCCAGAAAAAAAACCACUGGCAUUGUGACAUCAUUCCAUCCACCACACAAUUGCUGAUUGGCUGGGAUUAUCCCUGUAACUAAUUGUAGAGAAAGAAAAAGAAAAAUUAGUGGCCAUGGAGUGAAAAGGCAGAGAAGCAGGAACAUGCCAAACAUGACUGGAAAAAAGUGCAUAUUUAUAUAAUUUAAGUGACUGUUUGGAAAUACUUCAGCCCUGCUAAAAUGAAUGAAUUCAGAGUCAAAGCUGAAAAGAAGGAAUAUUUAAUGCCACCUUAGACAGUCUUUGCAACUGGAAGCAUCAGGUAGCCACGGCCUCUUGCAAAAGAUAAAGUUGCAAUUGUUCUGCUUUGCACUGAUCUACCUAGAAGCAUGAGUGGUGGCAGUAGGGAAAUAGUGGGAAGAACAGAUGCUUCUGCGUUGGCAUCUGAGCUACCCACCUGUCUGCAGCACAGAUGGACAGAAGGACACCAGCAGGGAAGGGAAGUUUGGUACAGCUGACCUUCUCCUGCGAUUAAAAUGCUGAAUGGCUGAAGUCAUUGGAAGCUGAGCGAGCGGAGCUGCUUUUCUGUGUGCUUCAUCCUUCCAGGAAUAAAUUGCUAUUCUGGAAACAAAUGGGCCAAUUAUGUAUAUGUGUACAUGAACAUCAGGACCAGUUUAUACACUCAAAGGGUUGAUUCCAGUAGAAAAGAUUUUCAUGGGCAUUCCAGAUUGCAGGUUACACUCUGGAAAAAAGAGGUGCUGGAACUCACCUCUGGAAAAAGAGGUGCCGGAACUCACCAUGUAUGCCCCCUUUUUUCUCUUGGAAUGGCAAUGGCACCCACCUGAGAGGUGCAAGAGCUGAGUUACGUUGAGUUCCCCCUGAAAAAAAAGCCCAGAUCCCCUCUCCCCCAGACACCUGCAUUCACACAUGCGCGCACAAGCUUUAACAGCGACAUCAGUCUGGUGAUGCUAUAGACUGGCCCUACAGGAGACAGAGAAAUAAAUUAGAUAUUGUAGUUCACUCUGCAUUCCACAUGGGUAAGCAGCAGGAGAGUUAAGAGGGGAGAGGCAAAGUUCAAGUGAGUUAAUAAGAGAUGCAUGCAGCCAGGCCCAAUCUCGUACAGCACAAGCUCCGCUCGCCCUUCGCUCCUAAUCUAUUUCCUAAAUGCGCUUCCACUUCACAUCCGCCGCGGUGACUCUUUGCCUGGGUAAAAAAGAAAGAAAGAAGGAUGUUUCAGAGGGGGCGGCUGAAGUCAGAUAGAUCCCUCAUCUUAUCAGAAUUGUGUCUGGAGCACCACUUUGUUGGGUAAGGCUCUCUAAGUUUACGCAUAAGCAGGAAAAGGAGCGUAAUGAGAAAAAAAGAGAGGUAUCUUAAAUUGCAGUGCCCUCUCUCUUGUUAUCCCAAAAGAAAAAUUCAUGGCCUCAUCAUAAAAGCUCUCAUCAUAUUUUCAGCCCCCCCCCCCAAUUCCCUGUUGGUAUUGAGAUCUACAAAGGAGGCAUUUCUGGUCCGUAGCACUUUAGAAAAUGAGCAGAGAGGCAACAGCAGCAUCCUCCAAUUUGGUACCUUCCAGAAAUUUUGGAAUACAACUUCUUGCUGCUCAAGCAGCGGUGGGGAAGAUCAGAUUGGGGGCGGGGGAGCAGCCCUCCUGGCCUCCCUAUGUGGCCCUUGGUCAUACCCCUCACAAGCCCUGCUCCAUGUCAGAAUCUGCAUUCAACCGAGCUGAUAAAGCUCAUCGUCCUCCGGAAUUGCCCUCCAAUGUGAUUGACGACCUGAGCCACUGAUAAGGCUCCAGGCACACCCCAUUCAGCAGAGAAUCAAAGCAGCACACGGAAGUGAUGAGAUUUAUGGCUACAUGGCUAUGCUUUAUCUACGCAGACAGCAAAGAAAAAUACAUCCUCUCUCUGUGAAAGCAGAGAACAACUGGAAAACAAAGGAACAGGAAACCAGUAACAUCACAUCCGUCUCCUGUCUUCCGUGAGACUUCCAACAGCCUGGAAUGUCUCUGGAAUGUAAACAGAGUCCUGUGACUCCAAAAGCACUGCACAGUGGGAAAACACAGAAACUAACAAUCCAUGCCCCACCCCCAAGUGCUUCUGACUGGCUAAACUGGCUUUUGAAGUUCUGGCAGCAGUGAUGUCAGUCUUCCAAGCAGAGGUGCCUGCUUGUGAGGGUGAUGGGUGGGGGGACGUCGUGUGCAUGAUGUCAGGACAUUGGGGGAUGGAACCAAAUGCGGUGGCUGCACAGCUUCAAUGGCCGGCAGCUCCUCGUCCACCUCCUCCUGGAGCCGCCACUGUCAGGACGCAAGAGGAUGUUUCCACCCUCCUUCACCUCUGCAGCAGCUGGAGGAGGAGAAGGAGCUGGCCACUGGAGCCAUGCUCGGCUCUGCACUUGGCUCAGUGCUCAGCCUCCUCCAGCCCCUCAACAUUGGGGGUGCCCAGCCCCCUCCCAAAAGAUACUGAGGGGGCCCAAAACAGUUUGGCUCCCAGGAGCGUGUGUGUCCCCCCUGCAAGCCCACGGUCUAAAACUGAAAUAACAUUUGGUACUAUUGCAACUUAUGUGUAAUUGACUUAUGUGCCACUUUAACGAUAUUGUUUAUUUAUUUAGAGCAUUUGUACCCCGCUGUUCAGCCAGAAAAGGCUUCCAGAGUGGCUUAUAUUAAAUCAAAACAAGACACCUGCAAGUACCUGCAGGCUUACAUUCUUAUCAACCAGUCAGUAAAAUGAACAACACACAAGGAAAAAGGGGGACAAGGAGGGAAGAGGAAAAUAAAACUAAAAACUCAGA
Molecule: long non-coding RNA, 4424 nt
Filed under: Podarcis lilfordi (Lilford's wall lizard)
Lineage: Eukaryota; Metazoa; Chordata; Lepidosauria; Squamata; Lacertidae
Source: RNAcentral